Long non-coding RNA from Lates calcarifer (barramundi perch), 237 nucleotides. RefSeq lists it as uncharacterized. The record is from RefSeq and is a predicted model, not a curated record. Lineage: Eukaryota; Metazoa; Chordata; Actinopteri; Centropomidae. The transcript has 2 exons.
UCCAUCUUGUACUCGCUCUUCUCCUUCUCCAGCUUCUGCUUGACACGCUGGAGGUUGUCGAUCUGCUCUCCCAACUCUGCAACACUGUCAGCCUGCUUCUUGCGAAGAGCUGCUGCAGUAGAUUCAUGCUGCAGGGUUGACUCCUCAAGGUCACGACGCAGCUUCUGGAACUCAGCCUCACGCUUCUUGUUCAUCUCAAUCUGAGCAGCUGUUGCUCCACCAGCUUCCUCAAGCCUC